Molecule: ribosomal RNA, 300 nt
Filed under: uncultured Methyloversatilis sp.
Lineage: Bacteria; Pseudomonadati; Pseudomonadota; Betaproteobacteria; Nitrosomonadales; Sterolibacteriaceae
Description: bacterial SSU rRNA
Rfam family: Bacterial small subunit ribosomal RNA
Source: RNAcentral
GCUAACUACGUGCCAGCAGCCGCGGUAAUACGUAGGGUGCGAGCGUUAAUCGGAAUUACUGGGCGUAAAGCGUGCGCAGGCGGUUGUGUAAGACAGGUGUGAAAUCCCCGGGCUUAACCUGGGAACUGCGCUUGUGACUGCACAGCUAGAGUAUGGCAGAGGGGGGUGGAAUUCCACGUGUAGCAGUGAAAUGCGUAGAGAUGUGGAGGAACACCGAUGGCGAAGGCAGCCCCCUGGGCCAAUACUGACGCUCAUGCACGAAAGCGUGGGGAGCAAACAGGAUUAGAUACCCUAGUAGUC